This 292-nucleotide ribosomal RNA is filed under the name uncultured bacterium. Its description in RNAcentral is "partial 16S ribosomal RNA". It matches the Rfam family "Bacterial small subunit ribosomal RNA", at positions 505 to 796 of the family's 1533-position model. The record is from RNAcentral.
GUGUCAGCAGCCGCGGUAAUACGGAGGGUGCAAACGUUAAUCGGAAUUACUGGGCGUAAAGCGCACGUAGGCGGUCCGUUAAGUGGGGUGUGAAAGCCCUGGGCUCAACCUGGGAAUUGCAUUCCAAACUGACGGGCUAGAGUGUGGUAGAGGGGGGUAGAAUUCCCUGUGUAGCGGUGAAAUGCGUAGAUAUAGGGAGGAAUACCUGUGGCGAAGGCGGCCCCCUGGACCAACACUGACGCUGAGGUGCGAAAGCGUGGGGAGCAAACAGGAUUAGAAACCCCAGUAGUCC